GCCACAGCCAUCUCCGUCUCUCUCCCUCUGUUCAAGAAAAAAAAAAUAUAGCAAAAACAUGAGCUUUUCUCUCAGUCCCUGGUUCUGCACAAUCCCUCCACCUUUACUGCUUUAAUCUCCAGAAAGAUCUUGCGUCGCUUUACUUUCUUUUCAUUCUUUUCUCGAUGGGUUUCUAGGAAAAUGAAACAGUCAUUUACUUUGCUCAUGCAAAUACUGUUUUUAU
This 223-nucleotide unclassified non-coding RNA is filed under the name Hevea brasiliensis (rubber tree). The record is from RNAcentral. Lineage: Eukaryota; Viridiplantae; Streptophyta; Magnoliopsida; Malpighiales; Euphorbiaceae.